GGUGCCGUAGCCAAUGACAGGCCACGUUGUGUCCCAGCAGCCAAUCGGAAGGGCCUGAGCCUGAAGACGUGCAUUUGACCGCUCCUCCCUCCGCGUUGGAGGCGGAAUAGUGGGUUUUGCUGCAACCGGUUUAUUUUCCUUCUGUUUUCACCCAUUCGGGCACAAUCUGGCGCCAUCGUCCUUCUUGUGAGGCCAAGCCUGAAAAUGCGAAGCAGAGAGGCAGGACCAAAAUUGAGGCGAAUCCGGGAACCUGCCAAUGGGUCUCCGGGUGCGGUCUCUGAAACUGGAGGAUAUCGGGAGGAAAGGCUCUCCGAUGCGGAGAUAAUGGGGAAGCUCUUGGCAUGGUUGGCUGUAGGUAUGUGAUACCGGAGGAGCAGGAGUCAAAUAGGAUACGCCGACUUUUAAUUCAAGGAACCCUUUUCUGAAACACUUUGCCACAAUGAAGGAAAUAAGAUUACAGCCGAAGAUACAUAUUAAGGAAUUGUACUCUCAGAGAUGUUGAGAAAAGAUACAUGGGUCUUGGAAGAUAAUUACUCAAAAUAUGCAGGGAAGGUAGUAUAUCUUUCUAUUUUAAAUGUAUUAAGUAUUCCUGGAACUAUAGCAGUGAGUUGGAAAUGGAGGAUUGUCCAAGUAAAAAACAUUUUUUAAGGCUUUAAUGAAAUCUACCUAUUUUAUGGUAUAGAAUCUCAUUAAUUGUCCACUUGGAAAGAAUAAUAACAGAUAUUUAUUUAUUGGCCAGUUACUAUGGGCCACAAAUUAUGCUGAGCUUUUUAAAAUUUAAUUUAAUUUAAUUUUAUUUUUUGAGAUGGGGUCUCACUCUGUCACCCAGGCUGGAGUGCAGUGGCGCAAUCUCAGCUUAUUGCAACCUCUGUCUUCCAGGCCCAAGCAAUCUUCCCACCUCAGCUUCCUAAGUAGCUGGGACCACAUGCAUGUACCACUACACCUGGCUAAUUUUUUUUUGUAUUUUUGGUAGAGA
Molecule: long non-coding RNA, 976 nt
Filed under: Pan troglodytes (chimpanzee)
Lineage: Eukaryota; Metazoa; Chordata; Mammalia; Primates; Hominidae
Description: long non-coding RNA NONPTRT012518
Source: RNAcentral